RNAcentral lists this ribosomal RNA (253 nucleotides) under uncultured bacterium. RNAcentral's name for it is "partial 16S ribosomal RNA". It matches the Rfam family "Bacterial small subunit ribosomal RNA", at positions 524 to 776 of the family's 1533-position model. The record is from RNAcentral.
UACGUAGGGUGCGAGCGUUGUCCGGAAUUAUUGGGCGUAAAGGGCUCGUAGGCGGUUUGUCGCGUCGGGAGUGAAAUCCACUGGCUUAACUGGUGGCUUGCUUUCGAUACGGGCAGACUGGAGGUAUGCAGGGGAGAACGGAAUUCCUGGUGUAGCGGUGAAAUGCGCAGAUAUCAGGAGGAACACCGGUGGCGAGGGCGGGUCUCUGGGCCGAUACUGACGCUGAGGAGCGAAAGCGUGGGGAGCGAACAGG